This 1501-nucleotide ribosomal RNA is filed under the name Lacticaseibacillus rhamnosus. RNAcentral's name for it is "bacterial SSU rRNA". It matches the Rfam family "Bacterial small subunit ribosomal RNA". The record is from RNAcentral. Lineage: Bacteria; Bacillati; Bacillota; Bacilli; Lactobacillales; Lactobacillaceae.
CAGGCUCAGGAUGAACGCUGGCGGCGUGCCUAAUACAUGCAAGUCGAACGAGUUCUGAUUAUUGAAAGGUGCUUGCAUCUUGAUUUAAUUUUGAACGAGUGGCGGACGGGUGAGUAACACGUGGGUAACCUGCCCUUAAGUGGGGGAUAACAUUUGGAAACAGAUGCUAAUACCGCAUAAAUCCAAGAACCGCAUGGUUCUUGGCUGAAAGAUGGCGUAAGCUAUCGCUUUUGGAUGGACCCGCGGCGUAUUAGCUAGUUGGUGAGGUAACGGCUCACCAAGGCAAUGAUACGUAGCCGAACUGAGAGGUUGAUCGGCCACAUUGGGACUGAGACACGGCCCAAACUCCUACGGGAGGCAGCAGUAGGGAAUCUUCCACAAUGGACGCAAGUCUGAUGGAGCAACGCCGCGUGAGUGAAGAAGGCUUUCGGGUCGUAAAACUCUGUUGUUGGAGAAGAAUGGUCGGCAGAGUAACUGUUGUCGGCGUGACGGUAUCCAACCAGAAAGCCACGGCUAACUACGUGCCAGCAGCCGCGGUAAUACGUAGGUGGCAAGCGUUAUCCGGAUUUAUUGGGCGUAAAGCGAGCGCAGGCGGUUUUUUAAGUCUGAUGUGAAAGCCCUCGGCUUAACCGAGGAAGUGCAUCGGAAACUGGGAAACUUGAGUGCAGAAGAGGACAGUGGAACUCCAUGUGUAGCGGUGAAAUGCGUAGAUAUAUGGAAGAACACCAGUGGCGAAGGCGGCUGUCUGGUCUGUAACUGACGCUGAGGCUCGAAAGCAUGGGUAGCGAACAGGAUUAGAUACCCUGGUAGUCCAUGCCGUAAACGAUGAAUGCUAGGUGUUGGAGGGUUUCCGCCCUUCAGUGCCGCAGCUAACGCAUUAAGCAUUCCGCCUGGGGAGUACGACCGCAAGGUUGAAACUCAAAGGAAUUGACGGGGGCCCGCACAAGCGGUGGAGCAUGUGGUUUAAUUCGAAGCAACGCGAAGAACCUUACCAGGUCUUGACAUCUUUUGAUCACCUGAGAGAUCAGGUUUCCCCUUCGGGGGCAAAAUGACAGGUGGUGCAUGGUUGUCGUCAGCUCGUGUCGUGAGAUGUUGGGUUAAGUCCCGCAACGAGCGCAACCCUUAUGACUAGUUGCCAGCAUUUAGUUGGGCACUCUAGUAAGACUGCCGGUGACAAACCGGAGGAAGGUGGGGAUGACGUCAAAUCAUCAUGCCCCUUAUGACCUGGGCUACACACGUGCUACAAUGGAUGGUACAACGAGUUGCGAGACCGCGAGGUCAAGCUAAUCUCUUAAAGCCAUUCUCAGUUCGGACUGUAGGCUGCAACUCGCCUACACGAAGUCGGAAUCGCUAGUAAUCGCGGAUCAGCACGCCGCGGUGAAUACGUUCCCGGGCCUUGUACACACCGCCCGUCACACCAUGAGAGUUUGUAACACCCGAAGCCGGUGGCGUAACCCUUUUAGGGAGCGAGCCGUCUAAGGUGGGACAAAUGAUUAGGGUG